This 254-nucleotide ribosomal RNA is filed under the name uncultured bacterium. RNAcentral describes it as "partial 16S ribosomal RNA". It matches the Rfam family "Bacterial small subunit ribosomal RNA", at positions 524 to 776 of the family's 1533-position model. The record is from RNAcentral.
GACGGAGGGGGCAAGCGUUGUUCGGAAUUAUUGGGCGUAAAGGGCUCGUAGGCGGACUGGUAAGUCUGAUGUGAAAUCUCCAUCGCUCAACGAGGAGAGGUCAUUGGAAACUGCCAGUCUGGAGUACGGUAGAGGACCAUGGAAUUCCAGGUGUAGCGGUGGAAUGCGUAGAUAUCUGGAAGAACACCUGUGGCGAAAGCGGCUCACUGGACCAUAACUGACGCUGAGGCGCGAAAGCUAGGGGAGCAAACAGG